AUGGCGGAGGAACUGUCUGCCAAGCGUCAGUGCAGCGAGACGUCCGACCAGAGCAGCAACCUCGACGACGUUCAUGUCCCCGGCGAGAAGCGCGAGUACACCCGAACCCUCACAGGGGUUGAGAUCCACGGCAAGGAGAUGCUGGAGGUCGUCUGCACCAGCAAACCAGACAAGGCCGAAGAGAUGAUCAGCAGGCUCUGGAGGAAGGCUGGCGGCUUGUAUCCUAGGUUUGUUGGUGUUCAUGUGGAGUAUACCAGGGAAGACGAACCUCCGCAGAGAUCAGCAGUUAUGCAACUAUGUGUGGAGGAACUCUGCCUGGUGUACCAUGUCGCAACGGCCACAAAAUGCAAAAAAACUAAGAAGUUGGUGAAGCACUGGCCUAAGAGCCUCAACGAUAUGCUGAAGCAUGAGAAGUUGUUCACCUUUGUUGGUUUCAACAUUCAAGGUGACAAGGAGAAGUUGAAGAUGUAUGGUUUCGAGAUCAACCCCAACAAGAAGGAGGACCAUAAUCUGUGGGGGAUCAGCCCGCUACCAAAUUACCUCAUCGAGUACACAACGAUAGAUGUGUACGCCACCUACAAGUCAUGGAAGAUAAUCGACAACAUCUCCACAGGUCUAGAAAUUUCAAAAGAGUAG
This 636-nucleotide ribosomal RNA is filed under the name Triticum aestivum (bread wheat). RNAcentral's name for it is "partial small subunit ribosomal RNA". The record is from RNAcentral. Lineage: Eukaryota; Viridiplantae; Streptophyta; Magnoliopsida; Poales; Poaceae.